GACGAACGCUGGCGGCGUGCUUAACACAUGCAAGUCGAACGAUGAAGCCUAGCUUGCUAGGUGGAUUAGUGGCGAACGGGUGAGUAAUACGUGAGUAACCUACCUUUAACUCUGGGAUAAGCCUGGGAAACUGGGUCUAAUACCGGAUACGACCAAUCUCCGCAUGGGGUGUUGGUGGAAAGCGUUAUGUAGUGGUUAUAGAUGGGCUCACGGCCUAUCAGCUUGUUGGUGAGGUAACGGCUCACCAAGGCGACGACGGGUAGCCGGCCUGAGAGGGUGACCGGCCACACUGGGACUGAGACACGGCCCAGACUCCUACGGGAGGCAGCAGUGGGGAAUAUUGCACAAUGGGCGCAAGCCUGAUGCAGCGACGCCGCGUGAGGGAUGACGGCCUUCGGGUUGUAAACCUCUGUUAGCAGGGAAGAAGAGAGAUUGACGGUACCUGCAGAGAAAGCGCCGGCUAACUACGUGCCAGCAGCCGCGGUAAUACGUAGGGCGCGAGCGUUGUCCGGAAUUAUUGGGCGUAAAGAGCUUGUAGGCGGUUUGUCGCGUCUGCUGUGAAAGGGCCGGGGCUUAACCCCGUGUAUUGCAGUGGGUACGGGCAGACUAGAGUGCAGUAGGGGAGACUGGAAUUCCUGGUGUAGCGGUGGAAUGCGCAGAUAUCAGGAGGAACACCGAUGGCGAAGGCAGGUCUCUGGGCUGUAACUGACGCUGAGAAGCGAAAGCAUGGGGAGCGAACAGGAUUAGAUACCCUGGUAGUCCAUGCCGUAAACGUUGGGCACUAGGUGUGGGGGACAUUCCACGUUUUCCGCGCCGUAGCUAACGCAUUAAGUGCCCCGCCUGGGGAGUACGGCCGCAAGGCUAAAACUCAAAGAAAUUGACGGGGGCCCGCACAAGCGGCGGAGCAUGCGGAUUAAUUCGAUGCAACGCGAAGAACCUUACCAAGGCUUGACAUAUACUGGACCGCAUCAGAGAUGGUGUUUCCCUUCGGGGCUGGUAUACAGGUGGUGCAUGGUUGUCGUCAGCUCGUGUCGUGAGAUGUUGGGUUAAGUCCCGCAACGAGCGCAACCCUCGUUCUAUGUUGCCAGCACGUUAUGGUGGGGACUCAUAGGAGACUGCCGGGGUCAACUCGGAGGAAGGUGGGGAUGACGUCAAAUCAUCAUGCCCCUUAUGUCUUGGGCUUCACGCAUGCUACAAUGGCCGGUACAGAGGGUUGCGAUACUGUGAGGUGGAGCUAAUCCCUAAAAGCCGGUCUCAGUUCGGAUUGGGGUCUGCAACUCGACCCCAUGAAGUCGGAGUCGCUAGUAAUCGCAGAUCAGCAACGCUGCGGUGAAUACGUUCCCGGGCCU
This 1349-nucleotide ribosomal RNA is filed under the name uncultured bacterium. RNAcentral's name for it is "bacterial SSU rRNA". It matches the Rfam family "Bacterial small subunit ribosomal RNA", at positions 28 to 1381 of the family's 1533-position model. The record is from RNAcentral.